UGAGGCCAAUGAUGAUUUAAACAUAUUUUGCCUACAUUGCUUGAGUAUCUCAUUUGGAUGAGAUAAUGAUAAACUGAAAUGUAUCUGAGGCCUCU
This is a small nucleolar RNA of Prunus persica (peach), 95 nucleotides long. It matches the Rfam family "Small nucleolar RNA SNORD34". Rfam says of the family: snoRNA U34 is found in intron 5 of the ribosomal protein L13a gene in humans. U34 is a member of the C/D class of snoRNA which contain C (UGAUGA) and D (CUGA) box motifs, and functions in directing site-specific 2'-O-methylation of 25S rRNAs. Lineage: Eukaryota; Viridiplantae; Streptophyta; Magnoliopsida; Rosales; Rosaceae. The record is from Rfam.